UUCACAUAUAAAAAACUUUUAAAGAAAACCCCAAAAAAGUGUUGAAGGAGGCCACUCACUUAGGAACAAAAGACAGGAACGCAGUGAAACUAAAAAAAAAAAUCAUUUUGAGUCCCAACUGUGUCCAAAACAGCUCCAAAAUGAAUAACAAAUACUCAAAUAGACUGCUUUAUUGUCUGUUUGAAAAAAUGCCCCAGUUACUUACUGUCCGUAAUAAACCAAGUAAAAGAUUGUUUGAAACUUAUAGACUAACUGGAAAUCUUAAAUAAUCCAAAAACCUCCUUUUAUUAAUUAUCAUUAACCAAUUAAUUAACCGAAUCCCGAAAUUAAUUAACCCCCAUUAAACGAAGCACUUAAUGACUACUACCACAUUUACUACACUAAUUAAUUGGAUGUUAUAUGACUCUACUAUUGCGGGGUUUUAUUCAGGUAGCAGGUAGGCAUCUUUGUCGGAGAUGUCUAUUCAGGGAAAGUGAAUCGAUCCCUGCCUACUGCAGAUUCCAGGUGCUUUCUGGCCCGGAAAGCUAGUACCUGUUUAGGGUCCCUUGUCCAGGGUUACGGACGAAGAAGACGACAGGAUGGAGAGCAGCUUCUGGAUUAUGAUUCAAGAAAUGCAAGGGCUGCUCCUGUAGACAGCAAGUGCGCCGCGUAGCUGUCUGGACUGCCACAAAAACUGGGAUGAACCCAAAUGUGAAUACACCCUAACACCCAAGAGCAACGGGAGUUGCAAAAAGAUACUCUAGAGGUUUCACCAGCUCAAAUUCUAAUGAUUAUGUCUGCUCUUAAGAAGGUCAUGAGCAAAAUUAUGCAAUAAGAUGAGAUGAAAUUAUUCUUUAUUGCUAAGAAACAUUAAAUUUUCUAUCAACUAAUGCAGUUGUUGGCAUUUCUAUGAAUGUGGGGUCAGGAGUCUGGAUAUGGAAGUCGGGCUGAGGAUCUGGAUUGGAGAGGGUGAGUUAAUUAAUCUUUGUCUCCUUAGGUCAUUAUAUUUGCUGAAUAAAGAGAUGUUUUUAUUA
Molecule: long non-coding RNA, 1013 nt
Filed under: Anthonomus grandis grandis
Lineage: Eukaryota; Metazoa; Arthropoda; Insecta; Coleoptera; Curculionidae
Description: uncharacterized LOC126747275
Source: RNAcentral